UUAUAUCCAGGCCAGCAUCGGUUUGGAUGGUUGGUUAAAGACUUUAGGAAUGUAUCUACCUUCGGGUCGACUUAUAGCCUAGAGUGUAAUGCGACCUAUCUAGACCGAGGAACGCGCUUUUUGCUCGGAUGUUGGCGUAAUGGUUGUAAGCGG
Molecule: ribosomal RNA, 153 nt
Filed under: Herpotrichiellaceae sp.
Lineage: Eukaryota; Fungi; Ascomycota; Eurotiomycetes; Chaetothyriales; Herpotrichiellaceae
Description: partial large subunit ribosomal RNA
Source: RNAcentral